GAUCCUGGCUCAGGAUGAACGCUAGCUACAGGCUUAACACAUGCAAGUCGAGCGAAGCAGUUAAGUUGAUUUCUUCGGAUUGAUUCUUAACUGACUGAGCGGCGGACGGGUGAGUAACGCGUGGGUAACCUGCCUCAUACAGGGGGAUAACAGUUGGAAACGACUGCUAAUACCGCAUAAGCGCACAGUACCGCAUGGUACAGUGUGAAAAACUCCGGUGGUAUGAGAUGGACCCGCG
Molecule: ribosomal RNA, 238 nt
Filed under: uncultured bacterium
Lineage: Bacteria
Description: partial 16S ribosomal RNA
Rfam family: Bacterial small subunit ribosomal RNA
Source: RNAcentral